Molecule: ribosomal RNA, 253 nt
Filed under: uncultured bacterium
Lineage: Bacteria
Description: partial 16S ribosomal RNA
Rfam family: Bacterial small subunit ribosomal RNA
Source: RNAcentral
UACAGAGGUCUCAAGCGUUGUUCGGAUUCAUUGGGCGUAAAGGGUGUGUAGGUGGCGCGCUAAGUCGGGUGUGAAAUUUCGGAGCUUAACUCCGAAGCUGCAUUCGAUACUGGCGUGCUUGAGGACUGGAGAGGAGACUGGAAUUCAUGGUGUAGCAGUGAAAUGCGUAGAGAUCAUGAGGAAGACCAGUGGCGAAGGCGGGUCUCUGGGCCAUUACUGACGCUGAGGAGCGAAAGCGUGGGGAGCGAACCGG